This 1527-nucleotide ribosomal RNA is filed under the name Candidatus Saccharimonadota bacterium. RNAcentral describes it as "partial 23S ribosomal RNA". The stretch from base 484 to 1527 matches the Rfam family "Eukaryotic large subunit ribosomal RNA", at positions 1 to 832 of the family's 3401-position model. Lineage: Bacteria; Candidatus Saccharimonadota. The record is from RNAcentral.
UCUGAGCGGUGGAUCACUCGGCUCGUGCGUCGAUGAAGAGCGCAGCCAACUGCGUGAAUUAGUGUGAAUUGCAGGAUAUCUUGAACAUCGACAUCUUGAACGCAUAUUGCGGCCUCGGGUUUUCCCCGUGGCCACGCCUGGCCGAGGGUCGGUUUAGCAAACUAUCGCUGUAUCUUUUUUGUAAUCAGCGUAUUUGGGAGACUGCUUUUUUGGCUUUUGAGUGUGUCUGUGCUGGCCUUUUUUCAGUACACUCCACCAAAAGCUAAUUGGCAUCUCUUUAAAGUCUCUGAGUUUACUCACUUGACUUGUAUUAUUACUAACAAGUAAAGGGAGGAAAGUGCAGACAUGCAUCUUUAUUAUGCAUGUAUGCGUGCCGGUAUGGCUCGAAGAGUUGUACCGCGCAACGUAUGCAUGUGUGUGUUUUGUAUCUUUUGUCUCCUUCCUAAAAAAUUACUUGUGUGUACAAGUCAAAUAUUCUUUGCCUGACCUCGGAUCAGACGUGAUUACCCGCUGAAUUUAAGCAUAUUAUUAAGCGGAGGAAAAGAAACUAACAAGGAUUCCCCUAGUAACGGCGAGUGAACGGGGAAGAGCCCAACACCGAAUCCCUUGGCGCAAGCUAAUGGGAAAUGUGGUGUUAAGGUUGCCCUUCGUGCCAGUCUAGGCGUCUCAAGUCCACCUGAUUGUGGCUCAAGCCCAGAGAGGGUGUAAGGCCCGUAGAGACGCUCCGACUGGUUCCUGGGGUUUACCUACGAGUCGGCUUGUUUGGGAAUGCAGGCCAAAGCGGGUGGUAAACUCCAUCCAAGGCUAAAUACUGGCACGAGUCCGAUAGCGGACAAGUACCGUGAGGGAAAGUUGAAAAGAACUUUGAAGAGAGAGUUCAAUAGUACGUGAAACCGCUUAGAGGCAAACGGAUGGUGCUCAAACUGGCCCAGGGAAUUCAACCGUGUCGGCGGUUGGGCAGGCUAGCGUUAGAUCUCUCUUUUGAGACUAAUCGUUGGUCUGUUCCAGCUUCGACGCGGUGCACUUUCCCUGGUGCCUUCGCCACGACCGACGACACUGGCUACCCGCGGCUGGGGUAAGGUGACAUCCUGCUUCGGCAGUUUGUGUUAUAGACCCCGGCGUCGGACUUGUUUGGCCAGGACGUCGAGCUAGCGGCGCCCGCUCCUUGUGGGCUCGUAUGUUGGUUAGCUUGGCUGUGCCGAUGCUUGUACUGGAUAACCAGUGCAGGCGACGGUUGCGGUCUUGUCUGGCUGGCCUCUGCGAGUUUGGCGCCUAUAGUCUGUGGUGUCUUUGUGGGUAGACUAUCCGACCCGUCUUGAAACACGGACCAAGGAGUCUAACAUGUGCGCGAGUCAUGGGGAUUCUACGAAACCCAAAGGCGCAGUGAAAGUAAAGGCUUGCUUCUCGCAGGCUGAGGUGGGAUCUCGUGCAUCGCGAUUGGCGAGCGCACCACCGGCCCGUCCUAUCAGUCUCUGUCUGUGGGGCGGCGCAAGAGCGUACACGUUGGGACCCGAAAGAUGGUGAACU